Non-coding RNA from Trichonephila inaurata madagascariensis, 72 nucleotides. Lineage: Eukaryota; Metazoa; Arthropoda; Arachnida; Araneae; Nephilidae. The record is from the annotation of a GenBank genome assembly.
GGGGGUAUAGCUCAGUGGUAGAGCUUUCGACUGCAGAUUAGAAGGUCCCCGGUUCAAACCCGGGUGUCCCCU